UGGAAAGUAUUUUCUGUUAACCAAUAAGUAAGUUUCUAUAAGCAUAUAGACCAACAAAUGUAAAAAAAAACACCCAAAAAAAAAAAAUAUUGCUGAAGGUUUUAAAGG
This is a long non-coding RNA of Sander lucioperca (pikeperch), 108 nucleotides long. RefSeq lists it as uncharacterized. The record is from RefSeq and is a predicted model, not a curated record. Lineage: Eukaryota; Metazoa; Chordata; Actinopteri; Perciformes; Percidae. The transcript is spliced from 4 exons.